This is a long non-coding RNA of Telopea speciosissima, 398 nucleotides long. RefSeq lists it as uncharacterized. NCBI's taxonomy places the organism in Eukaryota, Viridiplantae, Streptophyta, Magnoliopsida, Proteales, Proteaceae. The record is from RefSeq and is a predicted model, not a curated record. The transcript is spliced from 3 exons.
GCAACCAGUUGGCUAGGUCUAACCACCUCCCUCACUUCUGGAUUGAAGAGAAAAGAAGGGUAAUGACCAUCUGUUAUGCCCAUUUUAAGCAUGUUUAAUCUGGUUUUUUGGGUUCUGUUCAGUAAGGAUUUCAGAUGGGCUCGAUCAAAACCUUUUCAUUACAUAUCAACUGUGCAUUUUUUUUUUUCACUCCCAUUGCCUAGUAGCAUCUUUUUCUUUAAUUUUACUUUCAUACAUUACAUGGUGAGUUGGGGAAGGUGGGUUCAUGUUUUUUUUUUUAAAAAAAAAAAAAAAAUGUAAUUGUGUAUUAUUAGUUCGUAAUGGGGGUUGGUUGUCGAGAUGGCGUUUGCUGUAAUUACAUUUGUUUUUCAUAUUUGAAGCGAUUUCUGAUUUGUUGA